GAUGAACGCUAGCUAUAGGCUUAACACAUGCAAGUCGAGGGGAAACGGCAGAGAGUGCUUGCACACUUUGGACGUCGACCGGCGCACGGGUGAGUAACACGUAUCCAACCUGCCCUUUACUUGGGGAUAACCCGUUGAAAGACGGACUAAUACCCAAUGAUAUUCAUUGAUGACAUCUGAUUUGAAUUAAAGAUUUAUCGGUAUAGGAUGGGGAUGCGUCUGAUUAGCUUGUUGGUGAGGUAACGGCUCACCAAGGCCACGAUCAGUAGGGGUUCUGAGAGGAAGGUCCCCCACAUUGGAACUGAGACACGGUCCAAACUCCUACGGGAGGCAGCAGUGAGGAAUAUUGGUCAAUGGACGAGAGUCUGAACCAGCCAAGUAGCGUGCAGGAUGACGGCCCUAUGGGUUGUAAACUGCUUUUGUUUGGGAAUAAUCGACAUUACGUGUAAUGUUUUGCAUGUACCAUUCGAAUAAGGACCGGCUAAUUCCGUGCCAGCAGCCGCGGUAAUACGGAAGGUCCAGGCGUUAUCCGGAUUUAUUGGGUUUAAAGGGAGUGUAGGCGGUUGGUUAAGCGUGUUGUGAAAUGUAGAUGCUCAACAUCUGACUUGCAGCGCGAACUGGCUGACUUUGAGUACACACAACGUGGGCGGAAUUCUGGUGUAUCGGUGAAAUGCUUAGAUAUUAUGAAAACUCCGAUUGCUAAGGCAGCUUAUUGCAGUGGUUACUGACUCUUAAGCUCGAAAGUGCGGGCAUCAAAAGAUUAAUACCCCCGGUAUUCAAGGCGAAUUCCACCAGGAUAUCAUCCUCUCAUACCGUCCACCUCCGGGGGGAAAAGCAAAACAUACCUUACUCCCUUACGGAGGCCAAUACCAAUCUCUCCUCCCCUUUUUACCCCCCGCUAU
RNAcentral lists this ribosomal RNA (902 nucleotides) under uncultured Mycoplasma sp. RNAcentral describes it as "bacterial SSU rRNA". The stretch from base 1 to 808 matches the Rfam family "Bacterial small subunit ribosomal RNA". Lineage: Bacteria; Bacillati; Mycoplasmatota; Mollicutes; Mycoplasmatales; Mycoplasmataceae. The record is from RNAcentral.